UUGUAGGGAAAAAAAAUCGGUCAGGAGGAAUUUUUUUCCGAACAGUCUCUUUUUCCACAUUUUUACUUCAAUUCGUGAUAAUAUUAUUAUAAGUUGUAGGUGUGAUAAUAUUUUUCCAUAUCACAAAUACUUUUGUGCAACUGGUUGCCAGAAUGACACUAUUUCAUUCGGGAAAUGACACUUGAAUAUUUCUGAAUGACACUAUUUCAACAUACAAAUGACACUUGAAGAUCUUCAAGUGUCAUUUGUAUGUUGAAGUAGUGCCAUUCGAAAAUAAGUUGCACGGGAGAGUGACUCUUUCCAUAUUGUAUAUUUUUAUGAUCUUUCAAUUUUACCAUAUUGUAUAUUGGUCUUCAAGGUGGAGAAGCCUGCAUUGGAGUUUAAAGAUUGGAUGUUGAAGGAGGGGAUAUUGAACAGUAGUUCUUGACGGAAGACGUCCCCUGUGAUGUUUCCCCCAC
Molecule: long non-coding RNA, 458 nt
Filed under: Salvia miltiorrhiza (redroot sage)
Lineage: Eukaryota; Viridiplantae; Streptophyta; Magnoliopsida; Lamiales; Lamiaceae
Description: long non-coding RNA (SMIL_LNC013907)
Source: RNAcentral